UGGCGACCGGCGCGACGGGUGAGUAACACGUACUACCACCGCCGAUAACUCGGGGAUAGCCUUUCGAAAGAAAGAUUAAUAUCCGAUAGCAUAUCAAUCCCGCAUGAGAUUGAUAUUAAAGAAUUUCGGUUAUCGAUGGGGAUGCGUUCCAUUAGUUUGUUGGCGGGGUAACGGCCCACCAAGACUACGAUGGAUAGGGGUUCUGAGAGGAAGGUCCCCCACAUUGGAACUGAGACACGGUCCAA
Molecule: ribosomal RNA, 245 nt
Filed under: uncultured bacterium
Lineage: Bacteria
Description: partial 16S ribosomal RNA
Rfam family: Bacterial small subunit ribosomal RNA
Source: RNAcentral